This 596-nucleotide long non-coding RNA is filed under the name Rattus norvegicus (Norway rat). RNAcentral's name for it is "long non-coding RNA NONRATT003661". The record is from RNAcentral. Lineage: Eukaryota; Metazoa; Chordata; Mammalia; Rodentia; Muridae.
UACAAUGUGCAUAAAAAGCAUUCAUAGAUACAGAUGAAGCUGUGCAAAUGGCACACGAAAGGGCUAGACAGCAGAGUUCUGUGACCUCUGUUUGGGGACAGAGGCAAGAAUAACAGCAUGUUACAUAGUAACAUUGUUUCAAAGAGGAGCUGAUUGCCUUUGCAGAUCACUCUCCUCUAGCCUUUAUUUUCUGCUCCCUCUUCCUCAUUCUGGGAGGGAAUCUUGUAUAGAUGUUCUGUUUAGAGCUGAGUGCUCCCCACUCUUCAGAGCUGAGUGCUCCCCACCUUCAGAGCUGAGUGCUCCAGUCUUCCGAGCUGAGUAUCCAUACUCUUCAGAGCUGAGAGCUCCAUACUCUUCAGAGCUGAGAGCUCCAUACUCUUCAGAGCUGAGUGCUCCAGUCUUCAGAGCUGAGUGCUCCAUACUCUUCAGAGCUGAGUGCUCCCCACCUUCAGAGCUAAGUGCUCCACACUCUUCUGGGCUCAGAGCUUGGUGCUCCACACUCUUUAGAGUUCAGUGUGACACACUCCGUUAUUUUCUAUAUGUUGACAAGUUAUGGGUCUUUUAAUUAAUCAUUGACUGUAUAAAGAAACCUUCCG